Molecule: ribosomal RNA, 375 nt
Filed under: Triticum aestivum (bread wheat)
Lineage: Eukaryota; Viridiplantae; Streptophyta; Magnoliopsida; Poales; Poaceae
Description: partial small subunit ribosomal RNA
Source: RNAcentral
AUGCCCAGUGCAGUUUUUGGAUUUCCACUGAGUGAUAGCUUUGUUUUGGUCUUCCAUAUAUCUGUGUUCUUAUUAUCAAGUCUCCACACAUGUCUUGUGCCCCCACAGGAAAUAGCAUUCUUUGACGUGACUAGAACAGGAAAGCUCUUAAGCAGGCUUUCUGAAGAUACCCAAAUUAUAAAGAAUGCCGCUACAACAAACCUUUCAGAAGCACUGCGUAAUCUGACUACCACAUCUAUUGGUCUUGGCUUUAUGUUUUCAACUUCAUGGAAGCUAACAUGUAAGUACCAGUUCCACAUGCUUGUGCUCUACAGAUUAAGAACUUUGUUGCAUCUCAUUUUGCUGACUGUGUGGCAUCUACCCGUGCAUCAAUAA